This 76-nucleotide transfer RNA is filed under the name Chloroflexota bacterium. RNAcentral's name for it is "Chloroflexi bacterium (anaerobic digester metagenome) tRNA-Lys". It matches the Rfam family "tRNA". Rfam says of the family: Transfer RNA (tRNA) molecules are approximately 80 nucleotides in length. Their secondary structure includes four short double-helical elements and three loops (D, anti-codon, and T loops). The record is from RNAcentral. RNAcentral also lists the same sequence under 1 other name. Lineage: Bacteria; Bacillati; Chloroflexota.
GGGCCGCUAGCUCAAUUGGCAGAGCCACUGACUCUUAAUCAGUUGGUUCCAGGUUCGAGUCCUGGGCGGCUCACCA